RNAcentral lists this long non-coding RNA (7591 nucleotides) under Eucalyptus grandis. RNAcentral's name for it is "long non-coding RNA (EGRA_LNC006607)". The record is from RNAcentral. Lineage: Eukaryota; Viridiplantae; Streptophyta; Magnoliopsida; Myrtales; Myrtaceae.
CUCAGAUACAUGAUAUAGCCAGUCAAGACACUCACUCAGGAUUUGCCACAACUCUGCUCUAUUUGGAGUCACUUAUCCUGAAGUGAGGAAGUGCUGAAUUGCCACUCAAGCCAUGGGAAGUAUAAUGGGUGAUGUAUUCCGAAAGAGAGGUUUCUUUGUAUAUGGGUGGAUUGUUUUCAGAGAGAAGCUCCUUUAUUGGCCCAAAGGGUUUGGUUUUUUGCAUCCGGCUCCAGGUGAAAAAGCAUGCGACUGAAACCCUCGGUCCGUCCCGCCCAGCGAGUACUCGGUGCUGCACGCUUUUGAACUUGUCAUUGGAAACAAGCUGCAACCAUCAUGUUAGGCCAGAAAAGGAGUUAUGUCUUCUAAAGACGUAGUAAAGAUGAACGCCAAGAGCUAGGCAUAGAAUGCAGUGUGUUUUCAUGCCGCAACAUUGCUCUGUUAUUUCACUUAUGAUUCUUGUCAAGUACUCAGGGUAUCGUGGUAAGUUCAUUCUACAUUCGAUUGGUCGCUUAGAAAAUAUUAUCUGGACUCACUGUGUCGUUGAUGUAAUGAAGGGCGUUCAAAACCGACUCCAGAGAGACAUAUCUGGAGGUCAAUUUCAUAUUUGCUAUGUAGGCCAGAAAACAUAAGGUCAGAAAGAAGGUGGACCUUUCUUUACCUGCAUCAAGUCUCCGAUGUUGGCUAGAAGUGCUCCCUUCACGGGAACCACAUCAACCCAGUGGUUUUCUUGGAGGACUUGGAGGCCACCAUGGUGGUCUUGAAGGAGAAGAGUCAGAAACGAUGAGUCCGAGUGAUUAACUAUGCCGAGAGUCAAUUCCGGUUCAGGACAAGCUGGGUAGUAAUGGCCCAUCACUGUCUCCGAUUUCAUACACUCAGUGCCACUGAGAUAAUCAGAACCAAGGCCCAGUGCCUCUGAUAAUAGUUCGGCUAAAGAUGUCUUCAGCUCCGCGAUAUGUUUCUCGAACUUGGAAACUGCCUCCCUGCAAACGAGUAAAUGAAAUCACCGUGUGCGAGUUUCGAGUGUCAGGGUUUAUAGCAUUAUAUGCGUUCUUUUCUUUUGAAAAAAAAAAAUGCAUGUUGGACUUGGGGAACAACUUUUGCACUCCCUAAAACGAAGGUUAUUAACGAGUUUUCCACAACCAAGCUUUGAUCUGUAUGGAAAUGCAUCAUACACUGAAUGAUCUAAUUUACCUGGUUUCAGAUUUCUGAAAAUACAGAGUAUGUUAUUGGACCCCAACCUGUCCUGAGUAAAAGAAAUGCCCAAAAUUGUUCUCAUUUCUCUCGUAGCAACUUCAAUUAUUAACUUUCAUAAGUCAUACAUGUACCUGCAAAUAGGAGGAACAGCCUCUGGGUCGAGGACACCAUCCUGGAAAUCAAAUAUGACACUAUCUCUCCAAGUUGCUGCUUUUGACAGGAACAAGUCUCCAUUGCAAUAGUACCUCACUCUCUUCGUCCCAUCUCUGGAGUACAGCUCUUUCUUCGCUUCCACUUGUUGCUCAUGGAACUUCUUCACACCCUCCAACAUGCUGUCCAUCACAUCGAGCGGAACCCCGUGAUUGAUCAUCUGAAAGAACCCCCAUGUCUCCGAUGCUUCGCGAAUACCAUCAAUGACAUCUCGCCGCCGAAAAUCCUGACAGCCUCUUAGAUCGAUGAUCGGGACCUGGAGGCCAGUCCCAUUCGAGUUGGAGGACAAACCACGCAAGUUCUCGGGCGGGUGGAUGAAGAUCCUGGGGACCUUGGUCACGCCAGAGUCCACAAGGCCUUUGACUCCGGCCUUGGUCUCAUCGAAUUCCUGCAAUUCUUUCGCUCUGUCAUAAUCCCGGUCGCAACAAGUGAUGAAUUGUGCAUGACUGGACAAGGUUGGCAUCGUCUUGUAGUGACAAAGGUUGAAAUCUUGAUGAAUCUGAGCCCUGAUCAGGGGGAGGCUGUUACCAUGAGAGUGAUAUGAAGAUGAUUAGCUAGAGAGGCCAUUGCACAAAUAUGGUCAAGUCAACAGCCAAUGGCCAAGGGAACUAACUGUCAAAGAUUCCCCAGUGACGAGGCUGGCGGUAGUUGAAGAGUCCCUGUCGUGAUGUCAAAGAUGGUAACAAGUGGGCCCUUAAAAGAAAGACAGGUCCAGGAGACCCAAUUCUCUUCUCUUACGAGUUGCGCCCACCGAUUUGAAGCCAACAAUUCAGCAUUGUUUACAAUUGUUGCAGCUAGUUUAAGAGGAAAAAAAUUGGAAAAACUGAAAUGAGAAACGAACCAGGCGAGAGGGAAAGGGGUAUGGUUCAAGCUCGUCGGGACAUUUAAAUGCAUCGGAUUAAGGUUGUUUCGAAGCGCCCAGAUAGAAAUCGAAGCUUUAAUUAUCUAAAUGAAAAAAAAAAAUGCUUGGUUAAGCUGUAAUUUCCACUCAGUUGAAAUGUUAGGUCGCUGGAUUGAUUCUAGAGGUCGUUGUGGUAUGAAACUAUGUUGUAAAGAAACUUUAGGACGUCUUGGAAGUGUAAGAUUUUAUAUAAGUCAAUUCAAGAUUAUGGUUUGAUCGAGGUGACAUUUUGAGGUUUGUUAUACUAGAACCAUGUUCAAAUUAUUGUGCUUAACACCACUUUUCCCUAGUCCUUGGCCAUAUAACUCGCCCCUUUUAAUUAUGUUAAGUUAGUUUUUCAAUGGCUCUAGACCCACUUGAAAUAGGCAUUGAUUGAAUUCAAAUGAACCAUUUUAAAUUUGACGCACGAGUUACCGCAGUACAUUAGACAUCAAUAGCUAUUCUGCUUUAGUCGAGCUUUUGUUGGCACAUUGAAAUAGUUCUUUUAGUAGAUAAGCUUACUUUACUUUUGUCGAAUCUUAAUUAAGGUAGCUAUCUACUUAAUUUUGAUAUCCAUUUGUCACUUAAAGGAUACGAAUUCAAAUUUUUCCACUUGAGGUAGCUUUUGUUGUUGUGUUUCGCAUUUUCAAGUGAACAUGCUCAUCCCUUCUCUGAUUUGCAAACUAAUGUCUUAAAAAUGAUAGAAAUUAGAUAUUUUGCAAGUUAUGAAAGAGGUAUCAUCUGUUAUCCUUUUGGUUAUUGGAAAUGGCAUAGUAAGGUAUCUCUUGAAAUAAUUUGGGGGUAGAUUAUUUGUGAAAUGGUCUUGGAAUACUAUAUGAAAUGUAUUCUUCUUAAUGGAAGAAAAUGUGAAAGGUUAUAUACAUACAGCUAUAUAUUGAUUUGUGAACUUGAUUUAUAGAAAUGAAAUUUGAAAUAAUUUUAUGAUUGGUUGGAAGAGUGUGAUAAUGGUUUCAUGCCCUUGGCCCUAAAACAAUUGAAAGGAGUUUUGAGUGUGUAUAAUGUUCUCUGGGCAUCUUAUUUGGGCUAAACCAUCGACUGAUAUAGGUGAAGGCAUAUACCAAAGGGCAUCUUGGUAGACCUUGUCCCAGGGCAUUAAGUGUAGUUAUAGUUUGAUAUUGAGCACAUGAUUGACCAAUGAACUAGAUCAUUGACAUUUGUUAUGAUAUUAUUGAUUGAAUGAGUAUAUAUUAUAUGUAUAAAGUUGUAUUAAAUUGGUAUAACUAAUCUUUAAUGUAUUUUACAUGCUGAAUUUGGAUAAAUGUGUUUCUGGUAUUGUUUAAAUGUGCAUAACUGAUACUCAAUCUACUUAAAAGAGAUUUAUACUACUCAAUAAGCGGUAAUUUGCUCAGAUCAUUCAUCUUAGUUCUUUUUUAGGUUUUACAACUAGUAGCAAAUAGAAAGAGAGUGGAAUCAGUGAGGGAAUUUGGGAGUUCAAGUUUGGUAUGACUUAAGAUAGAAUGCUAUUUGUCAAGUUUAGUGUAGAAGUCACUAGAGAUGCACUUAUUCUUUUUUGUAGACUUUAGAACUAUGAUCAUGUAUCUAACUUGAUAUUGUAUCAUAUGUACAUAUAUAUAUAUAUAUAUAUAUAUAUAUAUAUAUAUAUAUUAUUUUCAUAAUAGAUUUGAUUUUGUAUAUGAGGCUCCAUGAUUUUCUCUAUACAUGAAGAUUUAGGGUGUGACCAAUAAGGGAUGGUGUGAGCGACCAAAUUGCCCAAACACUAAAAGGAGAGCUCUCAAGUCAAAUGAAACAUUAAUUUUGGGCAUUUUAUCACAAUAUUAGUUUCAUGGUAUAUGGAGAUCGACCUUCAAGGUUGGCAUGGCAAGUAAUGUGUCAUGUCACAAGCGGACUUUGUAUAAGUGAAUCAUAUCCGAGCCGAACUUGACAAGUUCUUUCGAGUAAAACUUAAAUUUGUUACAGCAAACUCCAAAGCCAACAUGAUUUGAUAAGUUUUAACAACAAGUAGAAGAACAAACAGGGCUUGGGGUGUCUCUAAAAGAAAAUGGCAUUCAAAAAUCAAUAUAGUAAAUCCCUGAAAGCUUAUUCAAUUUUGAUUCCAAUUUUCUUCCAGAUAUUUUCACAUUUUUACAUACUAAACUAAUUAUAAACUAGAACUAGCACUAAAAUCUAGUAAAACUACUCAAAAUCUAAUUUUUAAAUUUUUGCCUAAAUUUCUAAAUUCUUUAUUUUUUUAUUAUUUUUGCUCCAAAUCAUGGAGACUCGUAUCAAGUCUGGAGACUGGAAUUUAUGUUAAUUGUGUAAAGACGAGCAUUAAGUUAUAUUGAGUUUGUAUUUUUAAAAUGAACUUAAUUCUCUUUUUGCUCCGGGAACAAAAAAGUAAGCUUUUUCUAUUUCUCUUUUUGGUUCCAAAACUAUUUGCUAGCCACUAAUCCGUCCGAGAAAUAGAAAGCUUAGCUGAUAUUGCCAAAUGGAUCUAUUUUCUAUUUUCUCUGGUGAGAAACAAAAAGAACAGAAAAAUGGAGGAACAGAAAUGUUAAUAAACAAGACCUCAUAUUCUGCAGAAACAAGGAGAGCUAGUAGGCGCUGGGUUGCCAUCCAAUAUAUGGUCAGAUCGAAAGGGACUCGUAUCGUCUCAUGGUGAUCAAGUGCCUGGAUUAGAGUUUCUAGUUUAAUGAAACAUCCAAUCCAAUACUGAAGAACAUGGCCCCGGCCCACAAAAUAAACUAAGGGCAAUGCUGUUUUCGAGGAUUGACUAUAUAUCAGCAAUGAAAAACAAAUCGCUUUUAUUAACUAGCUACUAUCGUUCGAUCUUUCACAUUUAAAAUACCAGGGCGACAAGGCUAGUGUCAGGCGUUGAAACUCAGCGAUUUUCACCUACACAAUUGCAGAGCGUCGCGAGAAAUAUCGAACAUCUAAAAUCGAAAUGUACCUACUCCCGAAGAGAAUUUUUCGCAAGGCACUUGUACAAGCACGAACUAGAGCAAUACGUCCGCAACAGGCUUGAACAUACGCAAGAAAGCACAGCCCUACGGCAAAGGACCAAAACAAAAAAAAAAAUGUCGAAGCCGGUAGGUCACUACAUCGGCCACAUUUGGCUUCUUCAGCCCAGCUUUCACCAUCAACCGUCGAAACAGCUCUUGGAACACGUAUCAAAUAAGGCCUGUCAUUCUGAGACAGCCGCUGCCCGUUACGUAGCUCGUGAAUCACUGACUCCACGGAUGGCCUAUCAUAGAGAUACUCGUUGGUGCAAGAGGCAAUUCUUGCGAGUUUAGCCACCUCGUACUCGAAGAACCUUUUUUUCGUGGAUAUAUGCAUCGAUGAAAUCCUGAAAUCUGCAUGAUGUAGUAGCCAGACGCCUGGAGUGAUCUACAUUCUGCGUCCCCCACAGCAUUGGGAAAACAAUCACUCCAACCGCAUAGACUUCACUCUUAUCCAUGAACAGGCCCCGCAGACGUUUACUCUGGCUUUAGGUUGCCCACGGCAGCGGUAGCUUUGAGCAAUGAGAACACAACGUCUGCGUGUGAGGGGCCUGUGGAGACCAGAGUCCUAGAGCAACGGGUAAUAUUAGUUUGGUAAGAUCAUUCGAGAUCAAAAGCCGCAACUUGCAAGCAGAAGACGAUGAAGAUCAGUUGAUCCCCAACUCAAAGAAAGAUAAACAAAUAAAUUUGAUGUCACCUUAUGCAAUACGAACGCCACACUCACUACUCUGUAUUAUUACAUGACAGGGCAGUGACGUGAGUGAUGAUGUUACCAAUGCUCAGAUGUUUCGGCUUUUCUUGCCUCAAUCUGUUUUGCUGCUACAUGCCAUUGCAUUGAGGGCGGAUUCUGCGAGAUGUGCAUUUGGUCCUCGGUUCCUUCUGCUACGUGUGCCAUAUGCUAGGAGAAGGAUUUGGGGAUGAAAUCUGUGUGUGGUAUGAAGGACGAUACUUCGCAUUUUGUAUGCAAACAGAAAAUCAUGGAUUCAUGAAGGAAAAGGCGAAUGGUGAAGGUAUGUCCAAAACUAUUUUCCAAUGAAUGGUGGUAGUACUUAAAGAAAAAGCGCACAUUCGGUUCAUCAAUUUGCACUCUUUUUCCAAUGUCAAUGUCAAAUUGUCAUGCAAUCAAAUUUUUGGACUUGUAGAAUUUGUCUAAUCUAGGCAAUUGCUCUGACUCGGACAAGUUGAAGCCAACAUGCUUAUUGAUGCUAGAAAAAAAUAUGAUGUAAAUUGUUGACGAUCAAUUUCUACUGAUCAACUUGCACAACGAUUAAGCAAAUGUUCAGCACCUUUUCAUAAGGUUCCAUCACUUAUUCCAAGAUCAAAAUUUUGGCUGAAAUUGAUUGACACGCUAGUUUCCAUUUCCUGGAGCUAGUAACAAAAAGAUUUGACUGAAGAAAGUUUUUUUCAAUAUUGUAGAUUCAUAACGACCAAUCUUCCUUUGCAUCUAAAACUCGAUGCAUUUGAAGAACGUAGCCACAUUCCACUAUGCAUCAGAAGAAUCAACUUUGGCAUUGAUUUCUUUUAGAUGAGGAAGAUUUUAUUGCACAGAUCGAAAAAGGAAGUCACAAAGUCCUGCCACAAACUCAGAUACAUGAUAUAGCCGGUCAAGACACACUCACUCAGGCUUUGCCACAACUCUGCUCUAUUUGGAGUUACUUAUCCUGAAGUGAGGAAGUGCUGAAUUGCCACUCAAGCCAUGGGAAGUAUAAUGGGUGACGUAUUCCGAAAGAGAGGUUUCUUUGUAUAUGGGUGGAUUGUUUUCAGAGAGAAGCUCCUUUAUUGGCCCAAAGGGUUUGGUUUUUUGCAUCCGGCUCCAGGUGAAAAAGCAUGCGACUGAAACCCUCGGUCCGUCCCGCCCAGCGAGUACUCGGUGCUGCACGCUUUUGAACUUGUCAUUGGAAACAAGCUGCAACCAUCAUGUUAGGCCAGAAAAGGAGUUAUGUCUUCUAAAGACGUAGUAAAGAUGACCGCCAAGAGCUAGGCAUAGAAUGCAGUGUGUUUUCAUGCCGCAACAUUGCUCUGUUAUUUCACUUAUGAUUCUUGUCAAGUACUCAGGGUAUCGUGGUAAGUUCAUUCUACAUUCGAUUGGUCGCUUAGAAAAUAUUAUCUGGACUCACUGUGUCGUUGAUGUAAUGAAGGGCGUUCAAAAUUGACUCCAGAGAGACAUAUCUGGAGUCAAUUUCAUAUUUGCUAUGUAGGCCAGAAAACAUAAGGUCAGAAAGAAGGUGGACCUUUCUUUACCUGCAUGAAGUCUCCGAUGUUGGCUAGAAGUGCUCCCUUCACGGGAACCACAUCAACCCAGUGGUUUUCUUGGAGGACUUGGAGGCCACCAUGGUGGUCUUGAAGGAGA